GAUGAAGAACGUAGCGAAAUGCGAUAAGUAAUGUGAAUUGCAGAAUUCAGUGAAUCAUCGAAUCUUUGAACGCACAUUGCGCCCUUUGGCAUUCCGAAGGGCACACCUGUCCGAGCGCCGUCGCACAACUGAGGCGCAGCCUUGCGUUGGCGGGCGACUUGUGAGUAGCGAGUCGCCGCCCAAACGAGACGGCGCCGCGCCGCGGCCGACGAAGCACGAAAGCGGAAGUCGACGCGGAGGCGGUUGCCUGUAGGAAGACACAGCUUGGCCUCGGAUCAGGUGGGGAUACCCGCUGAACUUAAGCAUAUCAAUAAGCGGAAGA
This 322-nucleotide unclassified non-coding RNA is filed under the name soil metagenome. RNAcentral's name for it is "partial contains 5.8S ribosomal RNA, internal transcribed spacer 2, and large subunit ribosomal RNA". The stretch from base 1 to 120 matches the Rfam family "5.8S ribosomal RNA", at positions 35 to 154 of the family's 154-position model. The record is from RNAcentral.